Molecule: long non-coding RNA, 146 nt
Filed under: Neodiprion pinetum (white pine sawfly)
Lineage: Eukaryota; Metazoa; Arthropoda; Insecta; Hymenoptera; Diprionidae
Description: uncharacterized LOC124211743
Source: RNAcentral
ACACACUCUAUCCCUAAACGACGCUCUCGGUCCUUCACGCUCGAGCCUCUGACUAUCACUGCUCUCUCGUCUCUCGACUUCCCCAAGGUAAACUUUAGGAUUCGAGUUGGGUACCUUACCCAUCCCUGCUACAUUACGAAGAUCGG